CAACAACAUAAUUUGGCAGUUAUACUAAUUGUAAUAAGAAGAUGCUUCUCUUAAUUUCUGUCAGAAAUAUAUUAGAUAUUACUAAAGCAAUAGUGUACUAAAUUUUAGUCAUUUGUUUGAAUAGCACAUUUUGUUUCCAGAAAAUUGGAUCGCAUAGCAAUAAUGUCAGAUACACCAUAUCAACACUGUAUAUUCAUAAAUGCAUUAAUAAAAUAAAAACACACACUCAUUUA
Non-coding RNA from Biomphalaria pfeifferi, 233 nucleotides. NCBI's taxonomy places the organism in Eukaryota, Metazoa, Mollusca, Gastropoda, Planorbidae. The record is from the annotation of a GenBank genome assembly.